AAUGGCCUAACGGCUGAACUGGCAACUUGGAAAAGUGAAAAGUCUUAAUCUUAAUAGAUUGAAUUGUCAAAGAAUGAAGCUUUGUUUAUAUAUUGAUAAUGACAAUAUAUAUAUUAUGUCUUGACCAAUUACGUGCCAGCAGUCGCGGUAAUACGUAAGAGACUAGUGUUAUUCAUCAGAAUUAGGUUUAAAGGGUACCUAGACGGUCAAAAUAGCAACAAAAAAUUGUAACUACUUGACUAGAGUUUUAUGUAAGAAGGCAGUAUCUGCGGAGGAGAGAUCAAAUUUUAUGAUACCAAAGAGACUGGUAAAGGUGAAGACAGCCUUUAUUGUUAGAACUGACGUUGAGGGACGAAGGCACAGGUCACGAACAGGAUUAGAUACCCUAGUAGUCUUUGCAGUAAAUUAUGAAUGCCAUAAAUUAGAUAAAAAAGUAAAAUUUGUGCAGCUUAGGGCUAGCGCCACACUACUUAUAUUUAAAAAUUUAGUUUAUAAAUGAAAGUGUAAGCAUUCCACCUCAAGAGUAAUGUGGCAACGCAGGAACUGAAAUCAAUAGACCGUUUCUAACAUCAGUAGUGAAGUAUGUUGUUUAAUUCGAUGAUCCACGAAAAACCUUACCGCGGUUUGUAUAUUUAUACAGGUGUUGCACGGCUGUUUUCAGUUAAUGUUGUGAAACCAUGGUUUCCACGGAAUUCACGUCAUCCUUGACUUUA
RNAcentral lists this ribosomal RNA (713 nucleotides) under Hydropisphaera erubescens. RNAcentral's name for it is "SSU rRNA". It matches the Rfam family "Bacterial small subunit ribosomal RNA", at positions 370 to 1113 of the family's 1533-position model. The record is from RNAcentral. Lineage: Eukaryota; Fungi; Ascomycota; Sordariomycetes; Hypocreales; Bionectriaceae.